Molecule: ribosomal RNA, 368 nt
Filed under: uncultured prokaryote
Description: partial 16S ribosomal RNA
Source: RNAcentral
CCCUAUGGGGUGCAGCAGGCAUUAUAUUGGGAUGCACUGAGCUUCCAAUGGUAAUAAAUACUAAUGAAGUUGAUGUCCCCUAUUUGAUACUCUAAAGAUACAUAUGUUGGCGGCCAUGAAAUUUUCAUUGAAUGAUUAUUUAGGGUAAAAUUUAUUAAGUAGUCUAAAAAAAUCUGUGGAGAGGAGACAAACAUGAAAAAGGAAAAAAUAAAACAACAACAUAAACAGAAGAAGUUCAGAUCAGAAGGAACAAAUAUGCUGAUUGGUAUUGGUCUUGGUAUCGUCUUUUACUUAAUAUUUGGUAACUUUAUUCUUGCAGCCAUCAUGGCAAUAGUAGUCGUUACCAUCUUAGGAAUUGGCGGGGGGGC